This 513-nucleotide ribosomal RNA is filed under the name uncultured bacterium. Its description in RNAcentral is "partial 16S ribosomal RNA". It matches the Rfam family "Bacterial small subunit ribosomal RNA", at positions 28 to 507 of the family's 1533-position model. The record is from RNAcentral.
GACGAACGCUGGCGGCGUGCUUAACACAUGCAAGUCGAACGAGAGCGUAGAGAAAGCUUGCUUUUUCUACAAUCUAGUGGCAAACGGGUGAGUAACGCGUAAACAACCUGCCCUACGGAUGGGGACAACAGCUGGAAACGGCUGCUAAUACCGAAUACGUUCCGAAAGUCGCAUGACUAUCGGAAGAAAGGAUGGCCUCUAUUUAUAAGCUAUCGCCGGAGGAGGGGUUUGCGUCUGAUUAGCUAGUUGGAGGGGUAACGGCCCACCAAGGCGACGAUCAGUAGCCGGUCUGAGAGGAUGAACGGCCACAUUGGAACUGAGACACGGUCCAGACGCCUACGGGAGGCAGCAGUGGGGAAUCGUCCGCAAUGGGCGAAAGCCUGACGGAGCAACGCCGCGUGAGGGAAGACGGCCUUCGGGUUGUAAAGCUCUGUUAUACGGGACGAAUAAUCUUGUGGUUAAUACCCAUGAGAAGUGACGGUACCGUAAGAGAAAGCCACGGCUAACUACGUG